GGCCGCCUGGCGAAAUGGCAUCGCGUCUGACUACGAUGGACAAUAUUCCCGCUUGUGCAGCUGUAAUCAGGAGAUUGCAGGUUCGACCCCUGCGGUGGUCA
RNAcentral lists this transfer RNA (101 nucleotides) under Lentinula edodes (shiitake mushroom). RNAcentral describes it as "tRNA-Arg". It matches the Rfam family "tRNA". From Rfam's summary of the family: Transfer RNA (tRNA) molecules are approximately 80 nucleotides in length. Their secondary structure includes four short double-helical elements and three loops (D, anti-codon, and T loops). Further hydrogen bonds mediate the characteristic L-shaped molecular structure. tRNAs have two regions of fundamental functional importance: the anti-codon, which is responsible for specific mRNA codon recognition, and the 3' end, to which the tRNAs corresponding amino acid is attached (by aminoacyl-tRNA synthetases). tRNAs cope with the degeneracy of the genetic code in two manners: having more than one tRNA (with a specific anti-codon) for a particular amino acid; and 'wobble' base-pairing, i.e. permitting non-standard base-pairing at the 3rd anti-codon position. The record is from RNAcentral. Lineage: Eukaryota; Fungi; Basidiomycota; Agaricomycetes; Agaricales; Omphalotaceae.